UGCGGUUGCGAUAAACGCUGAAGGCAUCUAAGCGUGAAACGUGCUUCAAGAUGAGAUAUCCCAUCAUUUCAAAUGAGUAAGGUUGCUCGUAGACUACGAGCUUGAUAGGUCGGAGGUGUAAGUACAGUAAUGUAUUCAGCUAACCGAUACUAAUUUCCGAGGGCUUGAACCU
This 172-nucleotide ribosomal RNA is filed under the name Clostridia bacterium. Its description in RNAcentral is "partial 23S ribosomal RNA". It matches the Rfam family "Bacterial large subunit ribosomal RNA", at positions 2754 to 2925 of the family's 2925-position model. The record is from RNAcentral. Lineage: Bacteria; Bacillati; Bacillota; Clostridia.